RNAcentral lists this ribosomal RNA (496 nucleotides) under uncultured bacterium. Its description in RNAcentral is "partial 16S ribosomal RNA". It matches the Rfam family "Bacterial small subunit ribosomal RNA", at positions 29 to 507 of the family's 1533-position model. The record is from RNAcentral.
AUGAACGCUGGCGGCGUGCCUAAUACCUGCCAGUCGCGCGAACAGACGAGGAGCUUGCUCCUCUGACGUUAGCGGCGGACGGGUGAGUAACACGUGGAUAACCUACCUAUAAGACUGGGAUAACUUCGGGAAGCCGGAGCUAAUACCGGAUAAUAUAUUGAACCGCAUGGUUCAAUAGUGAAAGACGGUUUUGCUGUCACUUAUAGAUGGAUCCGCGCCGCAUUAGCUAGUUGGUAAGGUAACGGCUUACCAAGGCGACGAUGCGUAGCCGACCUGAGAGGGUGAUCGGCCACACUGGAACUGAGACACGGUCCAGACUCCUACGGGAGGCAGCAGUAGGGAAUCUUCCGCAAUGGGCGAAAGCCUGACGGAGCAACGCCGCGUGAGUGAUGAAGGUCUUCGGAUCGUAAAACUCUGUUAUUAGGGAAGAACAAAUGUGUAAGUAACUAUGCACGUCUUGACGGUACCUAAUCAGAAAGCCACGGCUAACUACGUG